AUUGAACGCUGGCGGCAGGCUUAACACAUGCAAGUCGAGCGGGGUGAUGGUGCUUGCACUAUCACUUAGCGGCGGACGGGUGAGUAAUGCUUAGGAAUCUGCCUAUUAGUGGGGGACAACAUCUCGAAAGGGAUGCUAAUACCGCAUACGUCCUACGGGAGAAAGCAGGGGAUCACUUGUGACCUUGCGCUAAUAGAUGAGCCUAAGUCGGAUUAGCUAGUUGGUGGGGUAAAGGCCUACAAAGGCGACGAUCUGUAGCGGGUCUGAGAGGAUGUCCCGCCACACUGGGACUGGGACACGGCCCAGAAUCCUACGGGGGGCAGCAGGGGGGAAUAUUGGCCAAUGGGGGGAGCCCUGAUCCAGCCAUGCCGCGUGUGUGAAGAAGGCCUUAUGGUUGUAAAGCACUUUAAGCGAGGAGGAGGCUCUUUUGGUUAAUACCCAAGAUGAGUGGACGUUACUCGCAGAAUAAGCACCGGCUAACUCUGUGCCAGCCGCCGCCGUAA
This 503-nucleotide ribosomal RNA is filed under the name uncultured bacterium. RNAcentral describes it as "partial 16S ribosomal RNA". It matches the Rfam family "Bacterial small subunit ribosomal RNA", at positions 30 to 523 of the family's 1533-position model. The record is from RNAcentral.